This 230-nucleotide long non-coding RNA is filed under the name Carica papaya (papaya). Its description in RNAcentral is "long non-coding RNA (CPAP_LNC016461)". The record is from RNAcentral. Lineage: Eukaryota; Viridiplantae; Streptophyta; Magnoliopsida; Brassicales; Caricaceae.
AAAUGACGAAUUACGAUAUAAAGCUGCAAAAUAAAUUUAAAUGAGUUUAGGUGGCCAUUAUAACAGCCCAGAGCUUAAAAGAAAAUAAAAUCAUAAAUUGAAUGCAGAAGUGAAAUAAUAGAGUUAGGGUUUACAUUCUUUACACAAUAAUUUAGAAUACCCAAUAGGACUACGGGAAUGACCAUUAUAAAAGAACAAGUGAAAAAUCAAGAAAUAAAUGAAAAUUAAAC